This 460-nucleotide ribosomal RNA is filed under the name uncultured bacterium. Its description in RNAcentral is "partial 16S ribosomal RNA". It matches the Rfam family "Bacterial small subunit ribosomal RNA", at positions 338 to 795 of the family's 1533-position model. The record is from RNAcentral.
CCUACGGGUGGCAGCAGUGAGGAAUAUUGGUCAAUGGACGAGAGUCUGAACCAGCCAAGUAGCGUGAAGGAUGACUGCCCUAUGGGUUGUAAACUUCUUUUAUAAAGGAAUAAAACGAGGCACGUGUGCCUUUUUGCAUGUACUUUAUGAAUAAGGAUCGGCUAACUCCGUGCCAGCACCCGCGGUAAUAUGGUGGAUCCGAGCGUUAUCCGGAUUUAUUGGGUUUAAAGGGAGCGUAGAUGGGUUUUUAAGUCAGUUGGGAAAGUUUGGGGCUCAACGGUAAAAUUGCAAUUGAUACUGGCAGUCUGGAGUACAGUUGAGGUUGGUGGAAUUCGUGGUGUAGCGGUGAAAUGCUUAGAUAUCACGAAGAACCCCGAUUGCGAAGGCAGCUUACUAAACUGUGACUGACAUUGAUGCUCGAAAGUGUGGGUAUCAAACAGGAUUAGAUACCCGAGUAGUC